Pleuronectes platessa (European plaice) is the source of this 4710-nucleotide long non-coding RNA. RefSeq lists it as uncharacterized. The transcript is spliced from 3 exons. NCBI's taxonomy places the organism in Eukaryota, Metazoa, Chordata, Actinopteri, Pleuronectiformes, Pleuronectidae. The record is from RefSeq and is a predicted model, not a curated record.
UCCACCAAGGCCCAACAGUUCCCUUAAAUCUAAUCAAGCAGCACCAAAUUUCCCAAUUUAUUUUGUUUUGAGAUAUAAGAACACAUGGCAAGACAAAUGCAUUUGUGGUCUUUUUAUCAUCUGCAGAACACUGUGUUGUUGGUUGAUGUUGGCGUGUGGGCUUGUAUCUUAAAAGAGAAUAAAGACAAAGAUUCUUCCUUGGAGAAAUCAACUGUCAGUAAGUGUCUGUGCUUCCAGACAAGUAUGAAGCAAGAGAGAAAAUACCAGAACCUUCAACUAUUACUACCUGUCAUUUAAAACAAGGUGACCUCUUAUUGUAUAUUUCUAUUCCAAUUACUUUCAACAUUCUAUUGCCAGCCAACAGUUUGUGAUAGAGUUUGUCAAUCAAAAAUUUAGCAAAUAAAAUAUAGCUUUUUUUUUUUUAAAGUUUUGUCUAAUGCAUGAAUGUAAUAUCCCAGACGGAUCUGAUAUGACAAUAUUGAUAAUACUUAGCUUUUUAAUUUACGACAUGAUAAAUAUGCAAAUGUAGCCGAACAGUGAGAAGUUUUAGUCCCAUUUUAUUUAAUGCUUAAAGCAGAUGACUAAUCCUUUUUCCUCAUAAUAUGUUUAUGAACACGUGUGUGCCUGUCCCCAUUUCUCUGGAACAUUUCAUCACACUGAUCCUGUUACUAUGAUAAGAAAACCGGUUGUAAACUUUUUAUUUUUGCCACACCCAAAUCCUGACCUGUGUGUAUCACAAAGUGUUUGCAUACAAAUAUGAGCUCUAGGUCCUCGUACAGAUCACUGGGUUUCCUUAUUCCAUGCAGCCAGAGGACAGGAGCUCCGAACCCUCAGUUUCCUUCCAGAAAAGAUCCUUCAUUACUUCUUUAGGACGAGAGCUCACUGUAAACAUGGUUGAUAGAAGCAUUGCACUGGAGGCUCUGGGAGCACUCUGCACUGGCAACGUGACGUCUGUCCAGCAACAAGCAUCACCAGCUGGUUUGUCCAGAAGGAACCUUCAAGUGGGACCACGGCAGAAUCUGUCCAUCAAGCUUCUCAUCCCGACUGUCAUUGAUGGAGAUGAACACUCUUAAAGCAGCUGAUCGACCUGAGCUCUCCGCCCAUCAGGUGGAGUCCAGAAGACAAGAAGGAAAACAACGCUCAUCAACCUCUCCUUCUGAUCCACAUCCUCCUGAACACGUGGACCUGCUGGCCUCUGCAGUAAACUGGACUCAUCAGGUUUCUGUCUCCAGAAACUGAUGAUGAUCCAGUUAAGACGACAACAGAGUUUUGAAUCAAUGAAAUCUUUACUGAAUUCUGAGUAUUAUGUUUUAAAUUAUGAAAAUAUUCAGAGGAUGCUGAGGUUUUUCUGCACCUGACUGUACUUUUCAUCGUCUCUGUCUCUGGGCUCUUAUUAAUGUUUGAAUAAAUGUUGUUAUUGUCACUACUGUAUACUGAUGUUCCUGUCUCUGUUCUGUCCACCACAUUGAAACCUGAUAAUUGACAGUUUCUGAGCCCCUAUCAUAACCUAACUGAAACCGGCCGUUUAAAACGACUACAAGUCGUUUUCACUUCAGAACUACAAUGGCACUUAGUACGGCACAGUCGUCCACCAAGGCCCAACAGUUCCCUUAAAUCUAAUCAAGCAGCACCAAAUUUCCCAAUUUAUUUUGUUUUGAGAUAUAAGAACACAUGGCAAGACAAAUGCAUUUGUGGUCUUUUUAUCAUCUGCAGAACACUGUGUUGUUGGUUGAUGUUGGCGUGUGGGCUUGUAUCUUAAAAGAGAAUAAAGACAAAGAUUCUUCCUUGGAGAAAUCAACUGUCAGUAAGUGUCUGUGCUUCCAGACAAGUAUGAAGCAAGAGAGAAAAUACCAGAACCUUCAACUAUUACUACCUGUCAUUUAAAACAAGGUGACCUCUUAUUGUAUAUUUAUAUUCCAAUUACUUUCAACAUUCUAUUGCCAGCCAACAGUUUGUGAUAGAGUUUGUCAAUCAAAAAUUUAGCAAAUAAAAUAUAGCUUUUUUUUUUUUAAAGUUUUGUCUAAUGCAUGAAUGUAAUAUCCCAGACGGAUCUGAUAUGACAAUAUUGAUAAUACUUAGCUUUUUAAUUUACGACAUGAUAAAUAUGCAAAUGUAGCCGAACAGUGAGAAGUUUUAGUCCCAUUUUAUUUAAUGCUUAAAGCAGAUGACUAAUCCUUUUUCCUCAUAAUAUGUUUAUGAACACGUGUGUGCCUGUCCCCAUUUCUCUGGAACAUUUCAUCACACUGAUCCUGUUACUAUGAUAAGAAAACCGGUUGUAAACUUUUUAUUUUUGCCACACCCAAAUCCUGACCUGUGUGUAUCACAAAGUGUUUGCAUACAAAUAUGAGCUCUAGGUCCUCGUACAGAUCACUGGGUUUCCUUAUUCCAUGCAGCCAGAGGACAGGAGUUCAUGACCCUCAGUUUCCUUCCAGAAAAGAUCCUUCAUUACUUCUGUAGGACGAGAGCUCACUGUAAACAUGGUUGAUAGAAGCAUUGCACUGGAGGCUCUGGGAGCACUCUGCACUGGCAACGUGACGUCUGUCCAGCAACAAGCAUCACCAGCUGGUUUGUCCAGAAGGAACCUUCAAGUGGGACCACGGCAGAAUCUGUCCAUCAAGCUUCUCAUCCCGACUGUCAUUGAUGGAGAUGAACACUCGUAAUUAGUGGAGCUUUUCUUACCAUAAAUCAUGAGAUCAGAUUUUAUUGUUUUAUUUAGAGGAGAUGAAGUAAAAAAUCAUGAUUAAAAAGUAAAUGUUAAGAUGUGUUUUCAAAAAGCUCAACUAAAGAUGUGUUGUUUAGUUAAAGCAGCUGAUCGACCUGAGCUCUCCGCUCAUCAGGUGGAGUCCAGAAGACAAGAAGGAAAACAACGCUCAUCAACCUCUCCUUCUGAUCCACAUCCUCCUGAACACGUGGACCUACUGGCCUCUGCAGUAAACUGGACUCAUCAGGUUUCUGUCUCCAGAAACUGAUGAUGAUCCAGUUAAGACGACAACAGAGUUUUGAAUCAGUGAAAUCUUUACUGAAUUCUGAGUAUUAUGUUUUAAAUUAUGAAAAUAUUCAGAGGAUGCUGAGGUUUUUCUGCACCUGACUGUACUUUUCAUCGUCUCUGUCUCUGGGCUCUUAUUAAUGUUUGAAUAAAUGUUGUUAUUGUCACUACUGUAUACUGAUGUUCCUGUCUCUGUUCUGUCCACCACAUUGAAACCUGAUAAUUGACAGUUUCUGAGCCCCUAUCAUAACCUAACUGAAACCGGCCGUUUAAAACGACUACAAGUCGUUUUCACUUCAGAACUACAAUGGCACUUAGUACGGCACAGUCGUCCACCAAGGCCCAACAGUUCCCUUAAAUCUAAUCAAGCAGCACCAAAUUUCCCAAUUUAUUUUGUUUUGAGAUAUAAGAACACAUGGCAAGACAAAUGCAUUUGUGGUCUUUUUAUCAUCUGCAGAACACUGUGUUGUUGGUUGAUGUUGGCGUGUGGGCUUGUAUCUUAAAAGAGAAUAAAGACAAAGAUUCUUCCUUGGAGAAAUCAACUGUCAGUAAGUGUCUGUGCUUCCAGACAAGUAUGAAGCAAGAGAGAAAAUACCAGAACCUUCAACUAUUACUACCUGUCAUUUAAAACAAGGUGACCUCUUAUUGUAUAUUUCUAUUCCAAUUACUUUCAACAUUCUAUUGCCAGCCAACAGUUUGUGAUAGAGUUUGUCAAUCAAAAAUUUAGCAAAUAAAAUAUAGCUUUUUUUUUUUUAAAGUUUUGUCUAUUGCAUGAAUGUAAUAUCCCAGACGGAUCUGAUAUGACAAUAUUGAUAAUACUUAGCUUUUUAAUUUACGACAUGAUAAAUAUGCAAAUGUAGCCGAACAGUGAGAAGUUUUAGUCCCAUUUUAUUUAAUGCUUAAAGCAGAUGACUAAUCCUUUUUCCUCAUAAUAUGUUUAUGAACACGUGUGUGCCUGUCCCCAUUUCUCUGGAACAUUUCAUCACACUGAUCCUGUUACUAUGAUAAGAAAACCGGUUGUAAACUUUUUAUUUUUGCCACACCCAAAUCCUGACCUGUGUGUAUCACAAAGUGUUUGCAUACAAAUAUGAGCUCUAGGUCCUCGUACAGAUCACUGGGUUUCCUUAUUCCAUGCAGCCAGAGGACAGGAGCUCCGAACCCUCAGUUUCCUUCCAGAAAAGAUCCUUCAUUACUUCUUUAGGACGAGAGCUCACUGUAAACAUGGUUGAUAGAAGCAUUGCACUGGAGGCUCUGGGAGCACUCUGCACUGGCAACGUGACGUCUGUCCAGCAACAAGCAUCACCAGCUGGUUUGUCCAGAAGGAACCUUCAAGUGGGACCACGGCAGAAUCUGUCCAUCAAGCUUCUCCUCCCGACUGUCAUUGAUGGAGAUGAACACUCGUGGAGUCCAGAAGACAAGAAGGAAAACAACGCUCAUCAACCUCUCCUUCUGAUCCACAUCCUCCUGAACACGUGGACCUACUGGCCUCUGCAGUAAACUGGACUCAUCAGGUUUCUGUCUCCAGAAACUGAUGAUGAUCCAGUUAAGACGACAACAGAGUUUUGAAUCAGUGAAAUCUUUACUGAAUUCUGAGUAUUAUGUUUUAAAUUAUGAAAAUAUUCAGAGGAUGCUGAGGUUUUUCUGCACCUGACUGUACUUUUCAUCGUCUCUGUCUCUGGGCUCUUAUUAAUGUUUGAAUAAAUGUUGUUAUUGUCACUACUGUA